Molecule: long non-coding RNA, 2653 nt
Filed under: Homo sapiens (human)
Lineage: Eukaryota; Metazoa; Chordata; Mammalia; Primates; Hominidae
Description: HSALNT0000937
Source: RNAcentral
CGAGUCUCGUCUCCAGGUUCCGGCCUUGUGUUUCCUUCACCCAGCCGGGCUGCUUCUCAAAGCUUUUCAUUAUUCCCCAGAUGGCCAAAUGGAUUAAGUUCUAAAAGGUUUUAAAAAGGAAAGAAGAAGAGUUUGUUUUCUGGCCAAGACCAACAGCAAAUAAUUUUGGCCUCAAAGCUAUUCUCAGAGUGAGUUAUUAUGGAUCAAAAAGAAACUUAUAAAAGAAACUGCUUUUCCACUAUUACUAUAAAGUUAACUACUGGGAAUGCAAUUGUACUUAUAUAUGGAGAUGCAGGGCUUUUUUUUUGUUUUAGAAAUUGCCCAUAACUCUCUUGCGUGCAGUCUGGUUGAAAUUGGAUUGUGUGAGUCUAUUUGCCCACAAGCAAGGCAAGGCCCAAGGAUAGUGUGGGGACACCCCAGCGACAAGGACCAAUGGCAGGAUUCCUAAAUCACAGCCACGGCAGUUGUCUGAAUCCACUAAAAGUAUUUGCUUAACUGUUGCCCUCGGAGCUGUAAUUAAAGAGAAAAAUAUAAUAAGCAAACUAUAAUACACACAAUGCUACAUCUGCUCUGCUGUUUAACCGAUGCGUUACCAGAAUCACCUCCUUAAUUAAAGACAUAAAUCCAUCAUGUGAUCUGCAUAAACGCUGCCGUUUACAGGACUGUGAAUUUUCCUCCUCUGAGAGCCAUAGUCUGGGUGGGAUGGAAAUGAUGAAUUGGGACAACACAAUGCAGUUGUGACAAAGAAGAGAUAAGUAAGAAGAAGUGUGGAUUUUGGUAGCUGUUGGGCAACGAACAAGCGGCCUCUUUUUCUUGACAUAAUCUCCUUCCUUUCAUUUCAAAAUCUCUUUAUCAGAGUGUGAAUUCCUGGGACAUCGUGUGGGAUGUCAGCGUCCCCAUCAUAAAAUGCUGGGGGAACCUGAGUUCUGCUCCCCGAUCACUGAACAUCCCACAGGCGAUGCUUGAAGGAGCUGCUGGAGACAGGUGACUUCCAAUCCCACCACUGAAUUUAGAGAGAGGAGAACAGGAGGAUGCUAGAAAGCAAGGGGUGGCUUAGAAGGAAUUGCUCCAAAAGGAGAAAGAUCUGGACUGUUCUUGGCGGCAGCAGCUAAUCAUGAAAAGCCUCAGGGCAUGCCACUCUGCUUCUUAGAUCAUUGCCCAAGGAUUGAGACUGUCCCUCUUGAUGUCUCUUUUCUUCAAUGCAUAAUCCCUUUUCUUCACAUCACUGUCUAUGUCUUAGAAGUUCUUAUUUCCAUUGAAUGUUUCCAAUCCUGUUAGAGGUUAUCCCUUUGAGGCCCCUGAACGUGGCCCUAAAAACUGGCUCUUUAUUUCAGAGACCCACUGGACACUGGGCCAUGGCAAAUGGGACUUUUACUUUCAUUUGGGAGGAAAGUGAAUGGGAUGGACUAAGGGGCAACAAGAGGACAGGGCUGAGGACAGGCAUCUGAGGGGAGCAUUUUGGCUGGUUCUGGCAGCAGGAGCCUCAGGGGUUGGGUGCCAGUUUGGACCAAGGGACCAGACCAAAGCUUCCCUCCCUGCCGACAGAGGCUGCCACUUGCGCAGACUGACAGCCACAUUCCCCAUUCUGAGAGACUCAGAUACCACCUAGAAAAAGUCUUUAAGACACCAGGCCUCGCCUUGAGUCCUUCUUUUUCCAAUGCAAGAGAAAGGUGGGAUGAUGUGCCUCCUUUGUGAGAUGCUGUGCAACAUCUCUGCCCAACACCCAACCCCAGACCUCUUGGUAAAAGGGGCCAUACCCCAGUGGGUCUCUGAGAUGUGCGUUACUGGGCUGGACAUAGCUCAGAAUUUAAGCAGAAAGCCUACAACCUCCCCCUUCCCCUCCAAUUAUCACUUGGCAUGCAACCCUGUGACCACUCUCAAGCUGGGCCCUCUUCCUCAUGGUUUCUUGAGUCCCCAUCAGAUGUGGCCUAGGAAGGAACCUCUUUCAUGAGGAGGCAAAGUGGAACCUCCUUCCAGCUUCCCAUUUCCAUGGGAAGAGACACUAAUUACUCUAGCCCCCUUGAGCUCCCUUUCCCUCCCCAUAAGACUCCUGGCUGAGCUUGGCAACAGGGAAGGGCCCUGUAAAUAUAGCUUAGUUCUGUCCUCACCUUGUUCUUUCUGUGACCCUGCUCUUCCAUGCCUGGAAUGACCCAGGAAGAGGUGGGUGAGUUUCACCUGGUGGCAGAGAAUUAGGAAGCUUAUUUUUGCCACACACCUAAACCACACUCUCCAAUAUCUGCUUUUUCAGUUUAAAAAGUUUCAUUUUCUUUCCUUAGAGUAUAUACCCAGUCAUGAGAUUACUGGGUCAAAUGGUAUUCCUGGUUCUAAAUCUUUGAGGAAUUGCCACACUGUUUUCCACAAUGGUUGAGUUAAUUUACAUUCUCACCAACGGUACAUGCAUGUGUAUGUUCAUUGAACCAUUAUUCACAAUAGCAAAGACACAGAAUCAACCCAAAUGCCCAUCAAUGAUAGACUGGGUAAGAAAAUGUGGUAAGUAUACACCAUGAAAUACUAUGUAGCCAUAAAAAGAAAUGAGAUCAUGUCCUUCACAGGGACAUGGAUGAAGUGGGAAGCCAUUAUCCUCGGCAAACUAAUGCAGGAACAAAAAAAAAAAACAGACACUGCAUGUUCUCGUUUAUAAGUGGGAGCUGAA